UGGGGAAUAUUGCGCAAUGGGGGCAACCCUGACGCAGCCAUGCCGCGUGUGUGAAGAAGGCCUUCGGGUUGUAAAGCACUUUAAGUGGGGAAGAAAAGCUGUUGCCUAAUAAGCCACAGCCCUGACAUUACCCACAGAAUAAGCACCGGCUAACUCCGUGCCAGCAGCCGCGGUAAUACGGAGGGUGCGAGCGUUAAUCGGAAUUACUGGGCGUAAAGCGCGCGUAGGCGGUUUGUUAAGUCAGCUGUGAAAGCCCCGGGCUCAACCUGGGAACUGCAGUUGAUACUGGCCGACUGGAGUGCGAGAGAGGGAGGUAGAAUUCCAUGUGUAGCGGUGAAAUGCGUAGAUAUAUGGAGGAAUACCGGUGGCGAAGGCGGCCUCCUGGCUCGACACUGACGCUGAGGUGCGAAAGCGUGGGGAUCAAACAGG
RNAcentral lists this ribosomal RNA (429 nucleotides) under uncultured bacterium. Its description in RNAcentral is "bacterial SSU rRNA". It matches the Rfam family "Bacterial small subunit ribosomal RNA", at positions 355 to 776 of the family's 1533-position model. The record is from RNAcentral.